CAACUUCCACCUGGCUUACCUUUUCAGUCUUGUGUCAUUGCUUGUAUCGCAUUGAAUGCAUGGUGGGUUUCUUGUGUUGCAUGCCUAAUUGAUGGUAUCAUUUGAAGAAUUGAUGUCCCUUUUCAUCUUGUGUUGCACAUGCGAUGUGAGAUGAACCUUGAAGUAGCCUUUGUGAUCCACUCUUUCGAUGUACACGCAUUGAUUUUGUGGCCCGCUGUGUGUUGCUUGGUCUCAUGGAUAUGGAACCUGGUGUGGGCAUGGGAUCUUUACUAGUUCCUUGUUUGCCCUGGUUUAGCUUUUCUAAUACGAUUGUUUAUCACAUUUUAAUGUGGUAGGCUAUAUCGGAUAUGAAUGCUACCUGGUUGAUCCUGCC
This 373-nucleotide unclassified non-coding RNA is filed under the name Leontopodium dedekensii. RNAcentral describes it as "partial contains external transcribed spacer and 18S ribosomal RNA". Lineage: Eukaryota; Viridiplantae; Streptophyta; Magnoliopsida; Asterales; Asteraceae. The record is from RNAcentral.